Molecule: ribosomal RNA, 1444 nt
Filed under: metagenome
Description: bacterial SSU rRNA
Rfam family: Bacterial small subunit ribosomal RNA
Source: RNAcentral
AGAGUUUGAUCCUGGCUCAGGAUGAACGCUGGCGGCGUGCUUAACACAUGCAAGUCGAACGAACCUUCGGGUUAGUGGCGGACGGGUGAGUAACGCGUGAGAAUCUGCCCUCAGGAGGGGGAUAACGGCUGGAAACGGCCGCUAAUACCCCAUAUGCCGAGAGGUGAAACGAGUUUUCGCCUGAGGAUGAGCUCGCGUCUGAUUAGCUAGUUGGUGGGGUAAGAGCCUACCAAGGCAUCGAUCAGUAGCUGGUCUGAGAGGAUGAUCAGCCACACUGGGACUGAGACACGGCCCAGACUCCUACGGGAGGCAGCAGUGGGGAAUUUUCCGCAAUGGGCGAAAGCCUGACGGAGCAACGCCGCGUGAGGGAUGAAGGCCUCUGGGCUGUAAACCUCUUUUAUCAAGGAAGAAGAUCUGACGGUACUUGAUGAAUAAGCCACGGCUAAUUCCGUGCCAGCAGCCGCGGUAAUACGGGAGUGGCAAGCGUUAUCCGGAAUUAUUGGGCGUAAAGCGUCCGCAGGCGGCCUGAUAAGUCUGUUGUCAAAGCGUGGAGCUUAACUCCAUUUCGGCAAUGGAAACUGUGAGGCUUGAGUGUGGUAGGGGCAGAGGGAAUUCCCGGUGUAGCGGUGAAAUGCGUAGAUAUCGGGAAGAACACCAGUGGCGAAGGCGCUCUGCUGGGCCAUAACUGACGCUCAUGGACGAAAGCCAGGGGAGCGAAAGGGAUUAGAUACCCCUGUAGUCCUGGCCGUAAACGAUGAACACUAGGAGUCGGGGGAAUCGACCCCCUCGGUGUCGUAGCCAACGCGUUAAGUGUUCCGCCUGGGGAGUACGCACGCAAGUGUGAAACUCAAAGGAAUUGACGGGGGCCCGCACAAGCGGUGGAGUAUGUGGUUUAAUUCGAUGCAACGCGAAGAACCUUACCAGGGUUUGACAUCCUGCGAAUCCCUUGGAAACUUGGGAGUGCCUUCGGGAGCGCAGAGACAGGUGGUGCAUGGCUGUCGUCAGCUCGUGUCGUGAGAUGUUGGGUUAAGUCCCGCAACGAGCGCAACCCACGUCUUUAGUUGCCAGCAUUCAGUUGGGCACUCUAGAGAGACCGCCGGUGAUAAACCGGAGGAAGGUGUGGAUGACGUCAAGUCAUCAUGCCCCUUACAUCCUGGGCUACACACGUACUACAAUGCUACGGACAAAGGGCAGCAAACUCGCGAGAGCUAGCAAAUCCCAUAAACCGUGGCUCAGUUCAGAUCGUAGGCUGCAACUCGCCUACGUGAAGGAGGAAUCGCUAGUAAUCGCAGGUCAGCAUACUGCGGUGAAUACGUUCCCGGGCCUUGUACACACCGCCCGUCACACCAUGGAAGUUGGCCACGCCCGAAGCCGUUACUCCAACCCUUGUGGAGGAGGACGUCGAAGGUGGGGCUGAUGACUGGGGUGAAGUCGGAACAAGGUA